This 423-nucleotide ribosomal RNA is filed under the name uncultured bacterium. RNAcentral describes it as "partial 16S ribosomal RNA". It matches the Rfam family "Bacterial small subunit ribosomal RNA", at positions 360 to 775 of the family's 1533-position model. The record is from RNAcentral.
AAUUUUGGACACUGGGGGAAACCCUGAUCCAUCCAUCCCGCGUGUAUGAUGAAGGCCUUCGGGUCGUAACGUACUUUCGGUAGCGACGAAAAGGUACAUCCCAAUACGCGAGCCUGCUGACGGUAUCUGCAGAAUAAGCAACGGCUAACUACGUGCCAGCAGCCGCGGUAAUACGUAGGCUGCAAGCGUUAAUCGGAAUUACUGGGCGUAAAGAGUGUGCAGGCGGUUCGGAAAAAAAGGUGUGAAGUCCCAGGGGUCAACCUUGGAACUGCAUUUUUAACUGCCGAGCUAGAGUAUGUCAGAGGGGGGUAGAAUUCCACGUGUAGCAGUGAAAUGCGUAGAUAUGUGGAGGAAUACCGAUGGCGAAGGCAGCCCCCUGGGAUAAUACUGACGCUCAGACACGAAAGCGUGGGGAGCAAACAG